UACGAAGGGGGCUAGCGUUGUUCGGAAUCACUGGGCGUAAAGGGCGCGUAGGCGGCUGUUCAAGUCGGGGGUGAAAUCCCGUGGCUCAACCACGGAAUGGCCUUCGAUACUGGACGGCUCGAGACCGGAAGAGGUGAGUGGAACUGCGAGUGUAGAGGUGAAAUGCGCAGAUAUCGGGAAGAACACCCGUGGCGAAGGCGGUUCUCUGGGACGGUACUGACGCUGAGACGCGAAAGCGUGGGGAGCGAACAGG
This 253-nucleotide ribosomal RNA is filed under the name uncultured bacterium. Its description in RNAcentral is "partial 16S ribosomal RNA". It matches the Rfam family "Bacterial small subunit ribosomal RNA", at positions 524 to 776 of the family's 1533-position model. The record is from RNAcentral.